AUUACACUCUGUCCUCAGAAGGAAGAGACUGCCAGGUUCCCCUUACCUGGCACCAGAAGGCCCCAAUAGACUCCACUGUCUACACGGAUGUUUGAGGCCAGCAACCAGUCUGCAGUGAGGUCACAGUGGACUUCUGAGUUGUGGGUUACCAAGGAGGACUACUCAUUGGCCAGGGAGAGAGUUCAGACUUCCAACAGGGCUGCUUGCAGGCUUCUCGCCUCCCAAGAGUCCCUCAGCCCAUGGAGCAGGUUGGUCAGUGGCCAGGCACAUGGGGACAGGUCCACUGACAGGACUGCACAGGAGAACACAGCCAUGGAUAUGGGGAUGAGCUGAAUGGGAACACAUCCUUCUGUACGUUUUACCUUUGCAAAGGAAAAAAAAAAUAAAAGAGCCACGUUCUGAUCCUUUCAACCUAUGAAAGUUUCCUUAUAUGGCAAAAUGGAUUUGGCAAAUGGGAUUAAAUUAAAGAUUCUGAGAUGAGAGGAUUAUCCUGGAUUAUCCUAAGUAUAAUCACAAGUGUCCUUAGAAGAGGGAGGUAGAGGGAGAUUUGACUACAGAGAGAGGAGGAAAUGCAAAGGGCCCACAAAGGCAGAGGCUGAGAUGAUGUGGCUACAAGCCAAGGACUACUGGCAGCCACCAGAGCUGGGGACAAUUAGUCCCUGCAGCUUCCAGGAGAAACCACCCCUGCCUGCAACUUGAUUUAGGGCCCAGAGGUCUUAUUUCAGACUUCUGGCCUCCAGAAUUAUAAGAGAAGAAAUCUAUG
RNAcentral lists this long non-coding RNA (763 nucleotides) under Heterocephalus glaber (naked mole-rat). RNAcentral describes it as "lncRNA (ENSHGLG00100040366.1)". Lineage: Eukaryota; Metazoa; Chordata; Mammalia; Rodentia; Bathyergidae. The record is from RNAcentral.